Sus scrofa (pig) is the source of this 959-nucleotide non-coding RNA. NCBI's taxonomy places the organism in Eukaryota, Metazoa, Chordata, Mammalia, Artiodactyla, Suidae. The record is from RefSeq and is a predicted model, not a curated record.
AGGACAUCAGAGAGCAGAGGGGGCGACUUUGGCUUCUGACAUGGCCCACAUGAGGUGAAGCAGAACAAGGCAUCUGCCUCUACAUCGCCAGCAGAGAACAGAGUCCCAGGCUCCUCCUCCCUCUGGGCCCAGCCUGCCACCUGCCUGCGCAUUGGCAGUGGACACCACCUCUCUGGGACAUCAGAGCUUCUCUCUGCGGCCAGAGCUCAGGCCUUCCAGGCUCUGCCUCUCUCUAUGGCUAGUCUUGUCCCAUCCUUUGGAAACUUCUCUCAUCCCUGUGGCCAGAGGGUGCAGCGACCACAGAAACCUGACCACGUCACGCGCCGUCUAAGCCCUUCUGUGAGCCCUUGACCUCAGAGUGAUACUCCAGCUCCUCCCCACGGCUUAUGAGGACAACAUCCAGGAGGAGUUCAAGUCCCCACUUCCUGCUGGGAACCAGAGCCUGGUACACAGAAGGCACCCAAGUGUGCACCUGAGGCUUACUCAAGUAUACCAUACAGCUUGCCUCCUCCAGGAAGGCUUCCGUGAUGCCCUAGCUUGGUGAGUGUUCUCCUGGGCUCUUAACAGCCCUCUGCUCUCAUCUCCUGGGCAACCUCCUCCAAGGGUAGGAACUGGGUCUUGUUCACUGCUAUAUUUUCAAUGCCUAACCUGAAGAUUGGUAUUACAGUAGGUGCUUGAUUUAUAGAUUUUAUUAUAGUAUGUAAAUAUAUAAUGUAGUAUGUAUUAUACACUAUAGUAAGUAUAUAAAUAGUAAUAUAUAAAUACACACUAUAGUAAGUAUAUAAACAUAUAGUAUAUAAAUAUAGGUGCUAAAUUUAUAGAAUUCACCUGAGAAAUAGUAAUGACUUAGGUUGAAAAGCCCCACAGGACCAGUUUUGCCUGUUUUAGUUCAGGGCUCUUUCAUCCCUGCAAAAGUGCUACUAACAGGCACAGCUCCAUUUACACACCAAGCACUAGGC